Long non-coding RNA from Alligator mississippiensis (American alligator), 962 nucleotides. RefSeq lists it as uncharacterized. The transcript is spliced from 3 exons. NCBI's taxonomy places the organism in Eukaryota, Metazoa, Chordata, Crocodylia, Alligatoridae. The record is from RefSeq and is a predicted model, not a curated record.
UUGGCCUCUCCCCGUCGCCGAGCACAAUCCUAGACGUAUCCCUUUCCUAUAUACCCAAUUUUCGAACCCACGGAGCUUUAACAACUCUGGGGCCUGGGAACCGAACAGAGCCCACGGAGCUUCGACAACUCCGUGGGAAAGAAUUGCCGAACCCGCGGAGCCUAAACAACUCCGGGGCCAAAGAACCGAAUUUGUCGUAGUCCUCCAACAAGGAUUUAAGCGGAGCUGUGCCUGGAAAGCUGUCCAGCCUACACCACUACCAUCUUUUGGUGCCAAGAAUCCAACCUCAGCACCAGCUCCAGCCCUUUCUCUGCUACUGAUUUCUCUCAGACAGGACAGCUAAUGCCCUCUAACAGGCUGUGGAGCAGGCGGGCUCCUGAAAGAGCGAGUGAAUCAGUGAUUGCAUGCGUAACACAGUAGCAGGAAGCGAUUAACACCUAGGGAAACCACAGAUCAACCAGCAGAAGAAAUCAAUAGGAGACAAUGUAGCAACCAGGAAUUCUCUAAACUUAAUCAACGGACUCCCAAACCUGCACAUACAUGCGGACGACCCCUGGGGCUGACAGAUGCCAUCCAGUAUCCACCGAGGGGGAAGUCCCACAAGGGUCAAUGACCCCUGUAUUGGGCAAACCUGAAAACUGAGGAGUCACCAAAGUCUGCCAAGGACAGAUAAAAAGCACUGAAAAGUGACCCUCAGUGGUGCUCUCUUGAUCUCCAACUUGACCAGCACCCGACCUGUCCAGCCAGAAGGACCAGCCAGCGACCCCCUUCUGGAGGAUAACACCACGCUGAAAGAAGCCUCGACUGGCCAUUGACGGCAGACUCCAGCACCCGUGGGAUAGGUAUACCUGACUCUUGUAGCUCGCUACUGUGUUUGUGUGUGUGUGGGGACCAGACCCAAGGUUUAUGAUUUAACUUCAUUACAGUGUUUCAAUCUACCUAAUAAACCAGAAUUUUAAGGA